CGCUAUCACUCCUACGGGGAGGCAGCAGUAGGGAAUCUUCCACAAUGGGCGCAAGCCUGAUGGAGCAACACCGCGUGAGUGAAGAAGGGUUUCGGCUCGUAAAGCUCUGUUGUUAAAGAAGAGCACGUAUGAGAGUAACUGUUCAUACGUUGACGGUAUUUAACCAGAAAGUCACGGCUAACUACGUGCCAGCAGCCGCGGUAAUACGUAGGUGGCAAGCGUUAUCCGGAUUUAUUGGGCGUAAAGAGAGUGCAGGCGGUUUUCUAAGUCUGAUGUGAAAGCCUUCGGCUUAACCGGAGAAGUGCAUCGGAAACUGGAUAACUUGAGUGCAGAAGAGGGUAGUGGAACUCCAUGUGUAGCGGUGGAAUGCGUAGAUAUAUGGAAGAACACCAGUGGCGAAGGCGGCUACCUGGUCUGCAACUGACGCUGAGACUCGAAAGCAUGGGUAGCGAACAGGAUUAGAUACCCUGGUAG
RNAcentral lists this ribosomal RNA (474 nucleotides) under uncultured bacterium. Its description in RNAcentral is "bacterial SSU rRNA". It matches the Rfam family "Bacterial small subunit ribosomal RNA", at positions 328 to 793 of the family's 1533-position model. The record is from RNAcentral.